UUGGAGGGCAGUCUGGUGCCAGCAGCCGCGGUAAUUCCAGCUCCAAUAGCGUAUAUUAAAGUUGUUGCAGUUAAAAAGCCCGUAGUUGAAUUUCGGGAUCAAAUUGUCGGUCGUGCCUCGGUACGCACUGGUAUUAUUGGUUCCUACCUUCUGAAGAACCGCGAUGUCAUUAAUUUGGUGUCGUGGGGAAUCAGGACUGUUACUUUGAAAAAAUUAGAGUGUUUAAAGCAGGCUUACGCUUGAAUACAUUAGCAUGGAAUAAUGAAAUAGGACGUUUGAUUCUAUUUUGUUGGUUUCUAGGAUUGACGUAAUGAUUAAUAGGGAUAGUUGGGGGCAUUAGUAUUCAAUUGUCAGAGGUGAAAUUCUUGGAUUUAUUGAAGACUAACUACUGCGAAAGCAUUUGCCAAGGAUGUUUUCAUUAAUCAAGAACGAAAGUUAGGGGAUCGAAGACGAUCAGAUACCGUCGUAGUCUUAACCAUAAACUAUGCCGACUAGGGAUCGGAUGAUGUUAAUUUUUUAAUGACUCAUUCGGCGCCUUACGGGAAAC
RNAcentral lists this ribosomal RNA (547 nucleotides) under uncultured Glomeromycotina. RNAcentral's name for it is "SSU rRNA". It matches the Rfam family "Eukaryotic small subunit ribosomal RNA", at positions 548 to 1098 of the family's 1831-position model. The record is from RNAcentral. Lineage: Eukaryota; Fungi; Glomeromycota.